CCUACGGGAGGCAGCAGUGGGGAAUUUUGGACAAUGGGCGAAAGCCUGAUCCAGCAAUGCCGCGUGCAGGAAGAAGGCCUUCGGGUUGUAAACUGCUUUUGUACGGAACGAAACGGUCUGCUUUAAUACAGUGGGCUAAUGACGGUACCGUAAGAAUAAGCACCGGCUAACUACGUGCCAGCAGCCGCGGUAAUACGUAGGGUGCGAGCGUUAAUCGGAAUUACUGGGCGUAAAGCGUGCGCAGGCGGUUAUAUAAGACAGUUGUGAAAUCCCCGGGCUCAACCUGGGAAUUGCAUCUGUGGCUGUAUAGCUAGAGUACGGUAGAGGGGGAUGGAAUUCCGCGUGUAGCAGUGAAAUGCGUAGAUAUGCGGAGGAACACCGAUGGCGAAGGCAAUCCCCUGGACCCUGUACUGACGCUCAUGCACGAAAGCGUGGGGAGCGAAACAGGAUUAGAUACCCUGGUAGUCCACGCCCUAAACGACUGUCAACUGGUUGUUGGGUGCAUUAGUACUCAGUAACGAAGCUAACGCGUGAAGUUGACCGCCUGGGGAGUACGGCCGCAAGGUUGAAACUCAAAGGAUUGACGGCUGAGACGNGCGAGACGACGACGAGGGAGGAGG
RNAcentral lists this ribosomal RNA (620 nucleotides) under uncultured bacterium. RNAcentral's name for it is "bacterial SSU rRNA". It matches the Rfam family "Bacterial small subunit ribosomal RNA", at positions 338 to 944 of the family's 1533-position model. The record is from RNAcentral.